Molecule: long non-coding RNA, 873 nt
Filed under: Marmota monax (woodchuck)
Lineage: Eukaryota; Metazoa; Chordata; Mammalia; Rodentia; Sciuridae
Source: RNAcentral
GGAGAACAACAGCAAGUUUCUGGCACAGCACUAUUUGGACAAUGUAUCAGUCACCUUUUUGUUGCUAUGACUAAAACACCUUACAUAAAUAACUUUGGUUUAUGGUUUCAGAGGUUUCAGUCCAUGGUCAGUUGGUUCCAUUGCCUUGGGCUUGAGGUGAGGCAGAACAUCAUAGCAGAAGGUUGUAGCAGAAGAAGGCAGCUGCUCGGCUCAUGGCAUAAAGAAAGCACAGGGGCUGGGGGAGGCUGGGCACCAGAAAUAAGUUUCAGGACAUACCCCCAGUGACAUACUUCUCCAUUAGUCCCACCUCAUAGUAGUCCAUUCUGCUAUCAGUGGACUAAUCCACUGAUGAGGUCAGAGUCCUCAUGAUCCAAUAGCUUCCCAAAAGCCCCACCUCUGAACAUUGCUGCCGUGGGAAACAAGUCUUCUACAUCUGAGACUCUGGGGGGGCAUUCCAGAUCCAAACUAUACCAGAGAAAAUGUGUGGAACAAAAAUUUUUAAAAAUUGGGCUUAGAUAGGAGAAAUUUUAAAAAUUAUAAAUUGACAAUCCCAUACCAGCACCAUCAAGAAUAAAAGGUACCAUGUCAGAUUGAUAUAUCUGUCAGAUCUCUACUGUGAAGAUAAACAGAGCAAACUAUCAAAGCCUAAAUUUUUAAAAAUAUAUUUUUAGUUGUAGAUGGACACAAAUACCUUUAUUUUAUUUAUUUUUAUGUGGUGCUGAGGAUAGAACCCAGUGCCUCACACAUGCAAGGCAGGCACUCUAUCACUGAGCCACAAUCCUAGCCCCAAAACCUAAACUUUUUAAUUAUAAGUCCCUUUGUUCUGAUUCCAUGUUCACUAAGAAAUCUUUUCUAUCCAACGGAAGAAUAUAU